This 497-nucleotide ribosomal RNA is filed under the name uncultured bacterium. RNAcentral describes it as "partial 16S ribosomal RNA". It matches the Rfam family "Bacterial small subunit ribosomal RNA", at positions 28 to 507 of the family's 1533-position model. The record is from RNAcentral.
GACGAACGCUGGCGGCGUGCCUAAUACAUGCAAGUUGAGCGCUGAAGGUUGGUACUUGUACCAACUGGAUGAGCAGCGAACGGGUGAGUAACGCGUGGGGAAUCUGCCUUUGAGCGGGGGACAACAUUGGGAAACGAAUGCUAAUACCGCAUAAAAACUUUAAACACAAGUUUAAAGUUUGAAAGAUGCAAUUGCAUCACUCAAAGAUGAUCCCGCGUUGUAUUAGCUAGUUGGUGAGGUAAAGGCUCACCAAGGCGAUGAUACAUAGCCGACCUGAGAGGGUGAUCGGCCACAUUGGGACUGAGACACGGCCCAAACUCCUACGGGAGGCAGCAGUAGGGAAUCUUCGGCAAUGGACGAAAGUCUGACCGAGCAACGCCGCGUGAGUGAAGAAGGUUUUCGGAUCGUAAAACUCUGUUGGUAGAGAAGAACGUUGGUGAGAGUGGAAAGCUCAUCAAGUGACGGUAACUACCCAGAAAGGGACGGCUAACUACGUG